GCUCGUAGUUGGAUUUCUGGUAUGCUGCGCCUGGCCCGCCCGCGUUAGCGGUGUGAGUGCUGGUGCGCGGUUGCCAUCCUUCUAGAGAACGAGUCUACCCUUCACUGGGCUGGAUUCGGGAUCUAGAUCAUUUACUUUGAAAAAAUUAGAGUGUUUAAAGCAGGCUAUUGCUAUGAAUACAUUAGCAUGGAAUAAUAAUAUAGGACUUUGGUUCUAUUUUGUUGGUUCUAGGACUGAAGUAAUGAUUGAUAGGGAUAGUUGGGGGUGCUAGUAUUCAGCGGCCAGAGGUGAAAUUCUUGGAUUCGCUGAAGACUAACUUAUGCGAAAGCAUUCUCCAAGGAUGUCUUCUUUAAUCAAGAACGAAAGUUGGGG
RNAcentral lists this ribosomal RNA (372 nucleotides) under uncultured marine eukaryote. Its description in RNAcentral is "SSU rRNA". It matches the Rfam family "Eukaryotic small subunit ribosomal RNA", at positions 626 to 995 of the family's 1831-position model. The record is from RNAcentral.